Populus trichocarpa (black cottonwood) is the source of this 155-nucleotide non-coding RNA. Lineage: Eukaryota; Viridiplantae; Streptophyta; Magnoliopsida; Malpighiales; Salicaceae. The record is from Rfam.
UCUAGAACUCAAGAUAUGGGCUGAACACUAAACAGUGUCUGGGCUGCAGGACAGAUUCGGACUUCUUCGUUAUUGCUACAAUUUGGACUUGAAAACGGCCUUCUUAAAUCUUGGACUCCCAUGAAAGUUGUAGGCCUAUGUCUUAGCUUUCCAUC